UUAAGCAUAUCAAUAAGCGGAGGAAAAGAAACCAACAGGGAUUACCUCAGUAACGGCGAGUGAAGCGGUAACAGCUCAAAUUUGAAAUCUGGGCCUUUCAGGCUCCGAGUUGUAAUUUGUAGAAGAUGCUUCGGGUGCGGCUCCGGUCUAAGUUCCUUGGAACAGGACGUCAUAGAGGGUGAGAAUCCCGUAUGUGAUCGGUUGCCUGCGCCCGUGUGAAGCUCUUUCGACGAGUCGAGUUGUUUGGGAAUGCAGCUCAAAAUGGGUGGUAAAUUUCAUCUAAAGCUAAAUAUUGGCCAGAGACCGAUAGCGCACAAGUAGAGUGAUCGAAAGAUGAAAAGCACUUUGGAAAGAGAGUUAAACAGUACGUGAAAUUGUUGAAAGGGAAGCGCUUGCAACCAGACUUGCGCGUUGCCGAUCAUCCGGGGUUCUCCCCGGUGCACUCGGCCUCGCUCAGGCCAGCAUCGGUUUCGGUGGUGGGAUAAAGGCCUUGGGAAUGUAGCUCCUCUCGGGGAGUGUUAUAGCCCUCGGUGCAAUGCCGCCUACCGGGACCGAGGACCGCGCUUCGGCUAGGAUGCUGGCGUAAUGGUUGUAAGCGACCCGUCUUGAAACACGGACCAAGGAGUCUAACAUCUAUGCGAGUGUUUGGGUGUCAAACCCAUACGCGUAAUGAAAGUGAACGGAGGUGAGAACCCUUAAGGGUGCAUCAUCGACCGAUCCUGAUGUCUUCGGAUGGAUUUGAGUAAGAGCAUAGCUGUUGGGACCCGAAAGAUGGUGAACUAUGCCUGAAUAGGGUGAAGCCAGAGGAAACUCUGGUGGAGGCUCGCAGCGGUUCUGACGUGCAAAUCGAUCGUCAAAUUUGGGUAUAGGGGCGAAAGACUAAUCGAACCAUCUAGUAGCUGGUUCCUGCCGAA
Molecule: ribosomal RNA, 914 nt
Filed under: Coleophoma paracylindrospora
Lineage: Eukaryota; Fungi; Ascomycota; Leotiomycetes; Helotiales; Dermateaceae
Description: eukaryotic LSU rRNA
Rfam family: Eukaryotic large subunit ribosomal RNA
Source: RNAcentral